Molecule: non-coding RNA, 30 nt
Filed under: Mus musculus (house mouse)
Lineage: Eukaryota; Metazoa; Chordata; Mammalia; Rodentia; Muridae
Also listed under: 1 other name
Source: RNAcentral
UCCUUCUUGUACAAUCCUUGGAGGAGGGGU